GUUUCGUUAAAAAUUAACAGUACUUUUAUCCCGAAAUAGUUAAGGGAAUCCGGUGAAAAUCCGGAGCUGUACCCGCAGCUGUAAUCCUGUUAUGUUGGAAACAAACUCAGCCACUGUUUUUUUUAGAAAACGGGAAGGUAGUUACCAAUCAGGGAAAGUCAGAAGACCUGCUGUUUCGAGAUAAACAAU
Molecule: non-coding RNA, 189 nt
Filed under: Mariniphaga anaerophila
Lineage: Bacteria; Pseudomonadati; Bacteroidota; Bacteroidia; Marinilabiliales; Prolixibacteraceae
Source: RNAcentral